This 355-nucleotide ribosomal RNA is filed under the name Proshermacha sp. MYG471. Its description in RNAcentral is "partial 16S ribosomal RNA". It matches the Rfam family "Archaeal large subunit ribosomal RNA", at positions 2008 to 2643 of the family's 2987-position model. Lineage: Eukaryota; Metazoa; Arthropoda; Arachnida; Araneae; Anamidae. The record is from RNAcentral.
CCGCAAAAUUUGUGCUAAGGUAGCAUAAUCACUUGCCUGAUAAUUAUAGGAUAGAAUGAAGGGGCUAACAUGUAAUACUCUCUAUCAAGAAGAUUAUUUUAACUUAUAAAGUAAGCAAGAACCCUUACUAACUUCAGGGGGACGAUAAGACCCUGUCAAACUUUACCUAAAGGUUUAGCUGGGGCGGCAUAAAAACAUGUCUUUUUCCAAAAUUAACAUAAAAGCCUAAAAUCGGACAAAACAAGUUACUGCAGGGAUAACAGCACAAUUACCAUUAAAAGACCUUAUAAAAAGGGUAGCUUGUGACCUCGAUGUUGAAUUAAAGAUCUAUUAGAGGCAGCACUCUAAAAAGAAA